RNAcentral lists this long non-coding RNA (818 nucleotides) under Daucus carota (carrot). RNAcentral describes it as "long non-coding RNA (DCAR_LNC000789)". Lineage: Eukaryota; Viridiplantae; Streptophyta; Magnoliopsida; Apiales; Apiaceae. The record is from RNAcentral.
AAGGCUGCCUUAGAGGUAUGUCUGGCAUCAAUAUUUCAAGUGGGGAUACUAUGUUCACUAGAAAUGCCCAAAGAGCGCAUUGACAUUAGUGUUGCUAUCAAGCAGCUUCAUGCAGCAAGAGACAAGCUUCUACAGCACAGAUAGUAACCUAUGUCUCUGUUUCUCUGCUUUUCCUAUGUUUCUAUCUCUUCUUGAUGCCACAGAUUACUCCACACUUUUAUUUACACUCUUUAAUACCGCUCCACACUUUUAUUUACACCGUCACUAUAUAUUACUUGAAGUUUUUAUGUAAGGAGUGGUAUUUACUAUAUAAGUAAACUAUUAAAUUCGUGGAACAGUACUUUUGGCAAUUGUCUUGACCUUUUAGUUAUGCAGAGUAUGGAAUGGGUGGGGAGAUAUCUGCAGAAGGAGAUGUAUAUAGCUACGGAAUCUUUCUACUAGAGAUGUUUUAAGGGAAACGACCUACAUGUAGCAGCACGUUGCUGGACAAUAAUAAUAGUCUUCAUGACUAUGUGAGGAAAGCCCUCCCACAUAGGGUGAUGAACAUUGUUGACCCACGGAUCAUAAUAGAUAAAGAAGAUCAUGGUUUGAGAACAAAUCAGUCAUACAACAAGGCUGCCUUAGAGUUAUGCCUGGCAUCAAUAUUUCAAGUGGGGAUACUAUGUUCACUAGAAAUGCCCAAAGAGCGCAUGGACAUUAGUGUUGCUAUCAAGCAGCUUCAUGCAGCAAGAGACAAGCUUCUACAGCACAGAUAGUAACCUAUGUCUCUGCUUCUCUGCUUUUCCUAUGUUUCUAUCUCUUGAUACCACAGAUUGGGA